GCCUGGGUGGCUCAGUGGGUUGAGUGUCAGAUUCCUGAUUUCAGCUCAGGUCAUGAUCUCACGGUUCGUGGGUUCGAGCCCCGCAUCAGGCU
This 92-nucleotide transfer RNA is filed under the name Felis catus (domestic cat). It matches the Rfam family "tRNA". From Rfam's summary of the family: Transfer RNA (tRNA) molecules are approximately 80 nucleotides in length. Their secondary structure includes four short double-helical elements and three loops (D, anti-codon, and T loops). Further hydrogen bonds mediate the characteristic L-shaped molecular structure. tRNAs have two regions of fundamental functional importance: the anti-codon, which is responsible for specific mRNA codon recognition, and the 3' end, to which the tRNAs corresponding amino acid is attached (by aminoacyl-tRNA synthetases). tRNAs cope with the degeneracy of the genetic code in two manners: having more than one tRNA (with a specific anti-codon) for a particular amino acid; and 'wobble' base-pairing, i.e. permitting non-standard base-pairing at the 3rd anti-codon position. The record is from Rfam by way of RNAcentral. Lineage: Eukaryota; Metazoa; Chordata; Mammalia; Carnivora; Felidae.